Molecule: unclassified non-coding RNA, 391 nt
Filed under: soil metagenome
Description: partial contains 5.8S ribosomal RNA, internal transcribed spacer 2, and large subunit ribosomal RNA
Rfam family: 5.8S ribosomal RNA (bases 1-122)
Source: RNAcentral
GAUGAAGAACGUAGUGAAAUGCGAUACUUGGUGUGAAUUGCAGAAUCCCGUGAACCAUCGAGUCUUUGAACGCAAGUUGCGCCCGAAGCCAUUAGGCCGAGGGCACGCCUGCCUGGGCGUCACACGUCGUUGCCCCCCCAUCUACUCCUUCGGGAUUGCGGGGGGCGGAUGAUGGCCUCCCGUGCGCCUCGUCGCGCGGUUGGCAUAAAUGCCAAGUCCUCGGCGACACACGCCACGACAAUCGGUGGUUGCGAAACCUCGGUUGCCCGUCGUGUGCGGUCGUCGCGCAUCGAGGGCUCGAAAAAAUUGCCGGGCUCCGGCUCGGCUUUCAACGCGACCCCUGGUCAGGCGGGGUUACCCGCUGAAUUUAAGCAUAUCAAUAAGCGGAGGA